AUUGAACGCUGGCGGCAUGCUUUACACAUGCAAGUCGAACGGCAGCGCGGGCUUCGGCCUGGCGGCGAGUGGCGAACGGGUGAGUAAUGCAUCGGAACGUGCCCAGUAGUGGGGGAUAGCCCGGCGAAAGCCGGAUUAAUACCGCAUCCGACCUGAUGGUGAAAGCGGGGGACCGAAAGGCCUCGCGCUCUUUGAGCGGCCGAUGUCGGAUUAGUUAGCUGGUGGGUGAAAGGCUUACCAAGGCGACGAUCCGUAGCUGGUCUGAAAGGACGACCAGCCACACGGGGACUGAGACACGGCCCAGACUCCUACGGGAGGCAGCAGUCGGGAAUUUUGGACAAUGGGGGCAACCCUGAUCCAGCCAUGCCGCGUGCGGGAAGAAGGCCUUCGGGUUGUAAACCGCUUUUGUUCGGGAAGAAAUCCUCUGGGCUAAUACCCCGGGGGGAUGACGGUACCGGAAGAAUAAGCACCGGCUAACUACGUG
Molecule: ribosomal RNA, 484 nt
Filed under: uncultured bacterium
Lineage: Bacteria
Description: partial 16S ribosomal RNA
Rfam family: Bacterial small subunit ribosomal RNA
Source: RNAcentral